AUAGUUUUGGAGAUCCAAGAAUAACCAGCUUUUGAAAGUUUUAUGCUCCUAAUAAUAGGCAUCUCAUAAAACGCUCAAAAGCUGGUUAUCCUUGGAUCUCCACAACUAUCU
Molecule: microRNA precursor, 111 nt
Filed under: Pelobates cultripes (western spadefoot toad)
Lineage: Eukaryota; Metazoa; Chordata; Amphibia; Anura; Pelobatidae
Source: RNAcentral